Molecule: small nucleolar RNA, 71 nt
Filed under: Sitophilus oryzae (rice weevil)
Lineage: Eukaryota; Metazoa; Arthropoda; Insecta; Coleoptera; Curculionidae
Description: small nucleolar RNA SNORD18
Rfam family: Small nucleolar RNA SNORD18
About the family: U18 is a member of the C/D class of snoRNA which contain the C (UGAUGA) and D (CUGA) box motifs. It is encoded in introns of ribosomal protein L1 in Xenopus and human, and in introns of elongation factor 1 beta in yeast.
Source: Rfam by way of RNAcentral
UUAUUAUGAUGAUUUGCUUUUGGUCCGUGUUUAUGAAUCUUUGUGAUUUUACUCUCAAAAGCUCUGAGCAA